Molecule: unclassified non-coding RNA, 237 nt
Filed under: plant metagenome
Description: partial contains small subunit ribosomal RNA and internal transcribed spacer 1
Rfam family: Eukaryotic small subunit ribosomal RNA (bases 1-46)
Source: RNAcentral
AAGUCGUAACAAGGUCUCCGUUGGUGAACCAGCGGAGGGAUCAUUAUAGAGUUUUCUAAACUCCCAAACCCAUGUGAACUUACCAUUGUUGCCUCGGCAGAGCCUACCCGGUACCUACCCUGGAACUAGCUACCCUGUAGCUACCCAGGAACGGGCUACCCUGUAACGUCCUGCCGGUGGACUUCUAAACUCUUGUUAUUUAUAGUAAUCUGAGCGUCUUAUUUUAAUAAGUCAAAA